This is an RNA transcript of Exaiptasia diaphana, 545 nucleotides long. RefSeq lists it as uncharacterized. The record is from RefSeq and is a predicted model, not a curated record. NCBI's taxonomy places the organism in Eukaryota, Metazoa, Cnidaria, Anthozoa, Actiniaria, Aiptasiidae. The transcript is spliced from 4 exons.
AUAAUCAAUAAAUGUUUAAAUCCAAUGUGUCAUUCAUACACUUAACAAAAGAAGUCGAAAGUAUUAAAGGCCACCCGAAAAGUAUUCACGUGGAUACAYUCUUGAUUUCCUAGAAAAUCAGUAGCUGCAAGAUAUCAGCAGCUUACUGUCAGUGACUGGCAAGAUUUACAAACGCAUCAGAGAGGCAAAACAAGAUCCGCUUUAUUGGGUGAUCUUCAUAUAUACAUAUACUGAGAUGGAAAGUCACAAGGGYCUACUGCUAUUAUUCCUCGUUGUCACUAUGAUAGAAAAGACAAAUGCAAGUCAGUUCCAAGAUUGUUCUGAUUAUUGUCGUACUUCGUAUUUCCAUUGUUUUUUAGUAGAAUGCAGUGGCCCUGGCAAUGAAUUCAAAUGUAAACGGUGCGCAUCUGUAAAAGUMUCAUGCAUUAGAGGGUGCCAAAGGAAUGAAGGACUUUCAAAGAAAACAAAUCAAAUGUAAUAUGAUGAAAUGUAAAGCACAGAAAAUUAUCUAAACUCUAAGAAAUAAAAAAAGAUUUUUGCUCAAU